Molecule: ribosomal RNA, 329 nt
Filed under: Capnocytophaga sp. AHN10017
Lineage: Bacteria; Pseudomonadati; Bacteroidota; Flavobacteriia; Flavobacteriales; Flavobacteriaceae
Description: bacterial SSU rRNA
Rfam family: Bacterial small subunit ribosomal RNA
Source: RNAcentral
GUGCGUAACGCGUAUACAAUCUGCCUUUCACAUAGGGAUAGCCCGAAGAAAUUUGGAUUAAUACCUAAUKGUAUAUARGAGCGGCAUCGUUUUUAUAUUAAAGCUACGGUGGUGAAAGAUGAGUAUGCGUUCUAUUAGCUAGUUGGAGAGGUAACGGCUCCCCAAGGCGACGAUAGAUAGGGGUUCUGAGAGGGAUGUCCCCCACACUGGUACUGAGAUACGGACCAGACUCCUACGGGAGGCAGCAGUGAGGAAUAUUGGACAAKGGUCSGAAGACUGAUCCAGCCAUGCCGCGUGCAGGAUGAAGGUCCUAUGGAUUGUAAACUGCU